UCUUCCUAACCUCUAUAUAUAAAAGUCAAGAUCUCUUCAAGUUUGCAAACCAAGUGUUUAAAAUUCUUAAAAAAUAAAUACUCCUACAAAAUAAGGAAGCUCAAAAAAUGAGCAAUACUACCCCAAAAGCAGAAAUCUCAAAGUCACCGGAAGAAGGUGGUUACUAUGACGGCUCAUCAGAACAGUCGUCGUCACAGCCUGAGAAGAAGAAGAACAAACCAUUAGGCGACAACUUCUCGAAACUUCCAUCGCCGCGUGGGGAGAAGAAGAACAACAUUGUCAAGGAUGCUUUAGGUUUUAAUAAAGAUAAUAAGAAGAAUGAAGAAGGAGAUGGAGCAAAAGAAGCAUAAUAAGAAGGAAAAAUAAACUACACCAUUUGUGUAUUAUGAACUUGGAAUUUUCCUUCCAUAGACUUUUCCUUCCUUUGGUUUUUGGUUGUACGAAUAUUAUCUUGUGUGACUAUAUUGUCCUUUAUCUUAUACAAUAAUGAAUACUUUUUCUUCUAAACAUCACUAACCCGUCUAUCUAUCUAUUAGAGGUGUUCAAAGCAAACUCGAUAGUCCUACAUUUAUUCGAAUUUGUAACUAAAUCAAAAUGAUUUAACCCGAUAUAAAAAAUAGAUAAAAAAUUAUGUAAAAACCAACAUGGAUACACGACCCAAUUUUGAACCGACCAAAAAUAUAUAACUUGCACUAGUGAAAAAAAACGUAUUUGCUGCGUGUCAUUUGCUGAGGUUUUUUUUAUAUACGCAGCAAUAAAUAGGAAAAACAAUUUAGAAAAAAAAAACCUAUUAAAUACUGCGGUUUCUUCAUUGCCCGCAGCAAAUAAGCGUUGAAGAACUCAAAUGCUGCGGUUCUUUGUGAGCCCGCAGCAAAUAAGACGUUAUUUGCUGCGGUUGGUUUUGGCCCGCAGCAAUUAAGUGCCAUUGUGUUGAGAAAUUGCUAUGGUUCCCUCGAAGCCCGUAGAAAAUAUUGCUUUCUAAAAAAUUAAAAUAACCCGCCUUUCAACAUUCCAGGCCAUUUCACAAAAUACUUACUGUUGUGUAUUCUCCAAAAGCCCUCCUAAAACCUACCAUUUUCGCAUACCUACUGUUGUAUUCGUUCAAAAACCCACCAUUUUUGCACAUUCCUACUGUUGCUUCUUCAUUGUUGCUUCUUCAAUUUCGUUUGUCUUCUUCAUCGUUGUACUGUUGCUUCCUUCAGUUUCGCAUACCCAACGAACAUUUCAACCUAAACCCACAAAAUUCAAGGUAUCUUUUUCAUUUUGAUUUUGUAAUUAGGUUUAAAUUUGUCAUACUUUAUGAAUGUGUAUGUUGUUGUUGUUUUUAAGUUCUAAAUUUAUCAUACAUAUCAUGUUUUGUUAUAUUUUUAAGUAAUUUCUUCAUUUUAUUUAUGAAUGUGUAUGUAGUUGUGGUUUUUAAGUUUUAAAUUAUCAUAAUUUUUUUAAUAGUUUGUAAAUUAGGUUUAAUUAGGGUUGUUUAAUGAAUGAGUUAUUGAUAUAAAUGUUAAUUAGUUGUCCAAGUUUAUGAAUGUGAUUUUAUUUUUAUUGUUUUUAUAUGUUGUUAAUAUAUAUGAAUAUUAAUUAUGGUUAGUACAAUAAACAUCAUUUGGACAGUUUAAAAAACAUUGUAUUAUUAUUUGGGUUAAUUAGGUUUACAUGAAUGAUUAUUACUUAAUUUUGUGCUUCAUUAGGGUUCGUUAAGUAUAUAUGUUUAAAAGUUGUGUAUUAAUUUUGUUUUGAAUUAAUUAAUCACACUAAUUAGGAUGACAAAAGAUCGUUUUUGGAUGUAUGGAAGCAUUGAAUCGUCAGAAUUUAUUGAUGGCGCAUUAGAAUUUUGUAGUAUUACGGUUGAACAUCAAGUUAGAACGGGGGGAGUUGGUUUUGAAAUUAUUGCGGGCUUCAUUCCCGAGAUUGAAGUGGUAAAUUUACCAUUAAUGAUCCGGGAACAAAGAAAGUUGCUGAUGCUGUGAUGAACUGGAAGGAAAAAGAAGCUACGGGGGAGUUCACCCCAAGAGGCAAUGUUGAAGCAUUGCAUAUGGUCUUAGGGAAAGACCACAGUGGGCGGGUAGUCAAAAAAGGACGCGUCUGCGUGGGGUUACAAAAGGCAUUUGACAAAGAGUGUGUUGCUACUCAAUCCCGAACGAUGCCACCUGAUGAAGUAGCAACCCUCCGAGCAGAAAUUACGAAAGACGUUCUCGCCAAACUGGUACUCGUGUUGCAGAAGAUGGGAGCACCCAUUGUUGACUUGGCAAACCUGAUUGUCGAGGAUUAGGAAAGUCAACAUGGGGAUCCUAAUGCUUCGGUAGAGCCAACACCCGAGCCCAUUACCCCCGUAGCACCCCAGCCCAUUACUACCCCUGAAGGGGAAAACCCCACACCGAAGACCAUAAACUCCGUUGCUCAAAAUCCGGAGCCAACUUCGGAGCCAAUGGUACAGGUACAUAGUUUUUAAAUAUAUAAGCACUUAUUAAUUUAAAUUGCAACGCGUUUUAAUAUUUUAUUAUAAUGCUUAUUAUACUAAACGACACAAUUUUCAGAAGGCGACUCUUUGUUCUCUUUUGCUGCCUCGGUUAGGUGUUGCUAGUUAUGGCGACUUAACUGAGGUUGUAUAUGGUGUGGCCCAACCAACCAAAGAGGGCCAAACAGUGCAUUCGAUGCCUGUUACAAGUGGCCACAUCAAUGUGACCGUGGAAACUAUUCUAAAGGGUUUUAAAGAUUUCUCACUCCCAAUUCCAAUGCCAGAAUGGAGCCUUGAGAAACUAUCAGACGCCCUAGGUAGUUUCUUCACAUGGUCAUAUCAUAUGCUUGGGUCCGAUUCACUAACAUGGUAACAAUCAUUUGUACCUUAUUUAUUUUUAUUUUUAUAAUUGCAUGCUUACACUAAUUUAAUUGUAUAAAUUGAAAUAGCAAAAGAGUCCAAAGGGAUCUUGGAGAGAGAUCGGUUCCUCAGCAUAGGUGUCGACCGGGUCAAAGUCGAUGCCAAGCACUCCAAUUUUGACUGAUGCAGAGCUAAAAGAUCUCUCUCAAGAUUGCAAAUGGCUGCACACUUGUGCAUCUCGCAUAAGUGAGGAGGACUCAAUCAUUCUAAACCUGCAGAAGGAACAAUUCUGCUUUUUAGAGAGCACAUUUGUAAUUAUUGGUCCUAGUGACAUUGGGCAAUUUUUGAGAAGAGAGAUAUUGAACGUAGCUCUUAUCCAUGUCUACAUGAGUGCGGCUUACGAGGAGCUAAAUUCUUGCGAACCUCCAAUAAAAAUUGGAUGGUUUUGUCCUGAGUCGAUUUCGGAUACUAAAUGUGUAAAUGAUCCAGAUGACAUUAGAGCAUACAUUGAGACUUCUUUGACUAAUUUUCUUGCAUCUAAACACACGUUCAUUCUGGCUUCAUAUGUGGAAGAUUUGCAUUGGAUACUUUUGGUCAUUUGUCCUUUAACAAACAUUGUGCACGUCUUCGACUCAUUACAAAAAUCUCAAAGCCCGCCUUGCAACACAAAAUUCAAAGCGUUGUUGGAUGCAUACCACAAUGAAGAAAGUGCGUGGACAAAUGGGAUCUAUAUCCAGAGCCACAUUUCCGAAAUGGACAGAAUUAAAGUGCUUUCAACAACCUUCUAAUUCCGUUGAUUGCGUCUACUACACGCUGAAAUACAUGGACGAUAUUAUAAAAUCCGUAAAGGAGGUUGGAGUCAAUAUAGAUGUUGUUUUAUACGACAUUCCGAGGGAAACACGCCCUCUGAGAAAUGGAGAGAUGCGCGAAUUAAAAGACAAGAUUGCCGCGUAUCUUGCUAAUUUUUGUCCUUGAUAAAUUGUAAUUAAUAAAGAUUUUUUAGGACUUUAAUGUAUGUUAUAUAUAUGUACGUACAUAAUAUUAUAUUAUAUAUACGAUCGAGAGUUUAUUAUUAUUACAAAGAGAUUAUUGGUGAUUAUUUGUGAUUUUCAUUGGAUUAUUGGAUUAAUCA
RNA transcript from Amaranthus tricolor (Joseph's coat), 3950 nucleotides. RefSeq lists it as uncharacterized. The record is from RefSeq and is a predicted model, not a curated record. The transcript is spliced from 8 exons. Lineage: Eukaryota; Viridiplantae; Streptophyta; Magnoliopsida; Caryophyllales; Amaranthaceae.